RNAcentral lists this ribosomal RNA (1008 nucleotides) under uncultured bacterium. RNAcentral's name for it is "bacterial SSU rRNA". It matches the Rfam family "Bacterial small subunit ribosomal RNA", at positions 356 to 1376 of the family's 1533-position model. The record is from RNAcentral.
GGGGAAUAUUGGGCAAUGGGCGCAAGCCUGACCCAGCAACGCCGCGUGAGGGAAGAAGGUUUUCGGAUUGUAAACCUCUGUCGCAGAAGACGAAGGAAGUGACGGUAUUCUGUGAGGAAGCACCGGCUAACUACGUGCCAGCAGCCGCGGUAAUACGUAGGGUGCAAGCGUUAUCCGGAAUUAUUGGGCGUAAAGGGCUCGUAGGCGGUUCGUCGCGUCCGGUGUGAAAGUCCAUCGCUUAACGGUGGAUCUGCGCCGGGUACGGGCGGGCUGGAGUGCGGUAGGGGAGACUGGAAUUCCCGGUGUAACGGUGGAAUGUGUAGAUAUCGGGAAGAACACCAAUGGCGAAGGCAGGUCUCUGGGCCGUUACUGACGCUGAGGAGCGAAAGCGUGGGGAGCGAACAGGAUUAGAUACCCUGGUAGUCCACGCCGUAAACGGUGGAUGCUGGAUGUGGGGCCCGUUCCACGGGUUCCGUGUCGGAGCUAACGCGUUAAGCAUCCCGCCUGGGGAGUACGGCCGCAAGGCUAAAACUCAAAGAAAUUGACGGGGGCCCGCACAAGCGGCGGAGCAUGCGGAUUAAUUCGAUGCAACGCGAAGAACCUUACCUGGGCUUGACAUGUUCCCGACAGCCGUAGAGAUGCGGCCUCCCUUCGGGGCGGGUUCACAGGUGGUGCAUGGUCGUCGUCAGCUCGUGUCGUGAGAUGUUGGGUUAAGUCCCGCAACGAGCGCAACCCUCGCCCUGUGUUGCCAGCACGUCAUGGUGGGAACUCACGGGGGACCGCCGGGGUCAACUCGGAGGAAGGUGGGGAUGACGUCAGAUCAUCAUGCCCCUUACGUCCAGGGCUUCACGCAUGCUACAAUGGCCGGUACAACGGGAUGCGACAUGGCGACAUGGAGCGGAUCCCUGAAAACCGGUCUCAGUUCGGAUUGGAGUCUGCAACCCGACUCCAUGAAGGCGGAGUCGCUAGUAAUCGCGGAUCAGCAACGCCGCGGUGAAUGCGUUCCCG